GUGUGUCUCUUUACCAUUAAUGGUAAGAACCAGUAGCCACUGACGUCCUCUGAGGAUGAGUCCAACACGUACAUUCUACGUGAAGAAGAGCCAAGCAUUUAUUUCCAGGAUGACUAAGCAUGUACGCAUGUGUUUCUUGCUGUGAAAUUCUCUAAGGAGCUGCUUUGCCUGUACCUGUCAACAGAGUUGUCUGAGGAAGUGUGGUCAUAGCUGCCAUCCAGAGCCGCAGACUCCUACCCUUCGAGAGGAAAAGGCGAAGAUACCUUCCAGUAACCUAGAACCUUCUCAACACACUGCACUUGAAUUCGUACAUCAUCUGAGUCCUCGAAACUUGAUGGAAAUUCAUACUUUUUGAGAAUAUUAUUUGCCUUUUGAGAAAAUUCAGUCAGCAAUAAGGAAUACUGCAGCCUCCUGUGUGCUCCUCUGCAGGAAACACUUCGAUACACCCUGAGAUGGAGGAAAGCACAUUUUCUGCCAGGUGUAAUUUACAGCCACAUGCUUUACUACAAAGUGAGUAUUUCUCUCUACAAGUUCCCAAGCAAUAAGCCACGGACUUCCUCCGGGAUUUUUCCUGGAACUAGGCGUAUUGAUGAGUGAUGGUGGCCGCCUGCCCUCCCCUCCCCUCCCCUCACACACACACACGCACACACACACACACACAUGCAGAUGCUGUACUGAAUUCCUGGGGGAAUUCAGCUACGGUGUCGGGCAGUUCCUCCGAAGCCUGUAGCCUGAGAGGAUGUGGGGCUGCCACUAGCAACCAGAAGCCAGAACGGAGAACAGCAGGACCUCAAAACCUGUCCAAGAAAGUGUCCGAGACUUCCUACUUUGAAAGACAGCCCUGCUUUCUUUGAGUCCUGGACGCAGAGCAAAGGAUAAGAGGCUUUGUUUGUCCUGGGCCUCCAUCUCUUGCUCAGCAAACCAACGCCAAGAAGCGGACUGGGCACACUCACAGUGUGCAGUGCCCCUUCCUAAGCACCGUUUGGAAAGCCCAGAAGCUGCCUAACGCCUCUCCUUGUACACCUGCUUCACAAGCCACUUCUUCUGCGUGGCUGUGUGUGCCUUUCCAAGGUCAGAGUCACGUGAGCUGCCUCUCGCUGGAUGCUGCAAACCAUUGAGCUGGGCAGAAGUCACAGAAUGUCUUCCUUUCUUAAGCGCCACUUACAUAGACAAUAAGUACAGGACUAGGAUAAACUAUAUCUAGUCCUUUGAUCAUAAAAUUUUGCCAUUCAAAUUGAUCACGCCUGAUACUAAAUAUUCAAUAAUAGUUCCCCAAACCAAAAGAGCUAUGAAUUGCUUUUUUUCCAUACUCCAAGUUUUGGGAUACCACUGUAUCUUGUGAGAAGCACGUGUCCCCUCCUGCAGCUGAGUCGAGGGUGGGCAGCAUCGUGCCCCCCACACAGCCAGAAGAACAGCGCCGAGAUCUGGACUAACAGCUCUGCCUCACGCCAGCCCACAGCUUCCACCGGGACCUGAGCUUGACAUCUCAGGCCUCUGACCCACCAAUAAACUGAGUCCAUUUUAAUCAUUUCCACCCCCUCCCAUGUGUCCUGCUUGAGACGGACACAAAGAGGCAGACAAAUGACCUCCACAUUGGAUCUGAGCACUCAAAACAAUAAAGUUUAAUCUAAA
Equus asinus (donkey) is the source of this 1632-nucleotide long non-coding RNA. The record is from Ensembl. Lineage: Eukaryota; Metazoa; Chordata; Mammalia; Perissodactyla; Equidae.